CAAUAGCGUAUAUUAUUGAUGUUGCAGUUGAAACGUUCGUAGUCGGAUUUAAUUUGCUGCAGUACUUUUUCAUUGCUGAUGAUUUUGUGCUUGCCGCAGAUAUUUUGCAAGAGGAACUUGUUUUCCACAAGCUCGCCUUUUGCACUUUACUUUGAGUGAAUCGGCGUGUUUCACGCAGGCAAUCGCCUUGAACGAUUUACCAGCGUUUUCUACACUGAUAGGAACGGUUGAGGGCAUUCGUAUUCGACUGCUAGAGGUGAAAUUCUUUGAUUAGUCGAGGAUGAACUACCGCGAAAGCUUCUGCCAAAGACGUUUCCUUUGA
This 322-nucleotide ribosomal RNA is filed under the name uncultured eukaryote. Its description in RNAcentral is "partial 18S ribosomal RNA". It matches the Rfam family "Eukaryotic small subunit ribosomal RNA", at positions 592 to 976 of the family's 1831-position model. The record is from RNAcentral.